UACGUAGGGGGCAAGCGUUGUCCGGAAUUAUUGGGCGUAAAGAGCUCGUAGGCGGCUCAGUAAGUCAGGUGUGAAACCUCCAGGCUCAACCUGGAGACGCCACCUGAUACUGCUGUGGCUAGAGUCCGGUAGGGGAGCGUGGAAUUCCUGGUGUAGCGGUGAAAUGCGCAGAUAUCAGGAGGAACACCAGCGGCGAAGGCGGCGCUCUGGGCCGGAACUGACGCUGAGGAGCGAAAGCGUGGGUAGCAAACAGG
This 254-nucleotide ribosomal RNA is filed under the name uncultured bacterium. RNAcentral describes it as "partial 16S ribosomal RNA". It matches the Rfam family "Bacterial small subunit ribosomal RNA", at positions 524 to 776 of the family's 1533-position model. The record is from RNAcentral.